This 468-nucleotide ribosomal RNA is filed under the name uncultured bacterium. RNAcentral describes it as "partial 16S ribosomal RNA". It matches the Rfam family "Bacterial small subunit ribosomal RNA", at positions 28 to 507 of the family's 1533-position model. The record is from RNAcentral.
GACGAACGCUGGCGGCGUGCUUAACACAUGCAAGUCGAACGGAAAGGCCCUGCUUUUGUGGGGUGCUCGAGUGGCGCACGGGUGAGUAACACGUGAGUAACCUGCCCUUGACUUUGGGAUAACUUCAGGAGACUGGGGCUAAUACCGGAUAGGAGCUCCUGCUGCAUGGUGGGGGUUGGAAAGUUUCGGCGGUUGGGGAUGGACUCGCGGCUUAUCAGCUUGUUGGUGGGGUAGUGGCUUACCAAGGCUUUGACGGGUGGCCGGCCUGAGAGGGUGGCCGGCCACAUUAGGACUGAGAUACGGACCAGAGUCCUACGGGAGGCAGCAGUGGGGAAUAUUGCACAAUGGGCGGGAGCCUGAUGCAGCAACGCCGCGUGCGGGAUGACGGCCUUCGGGUUGUAAACCGCUUUCGCCUGUGACGAAGCGUGAGUGACGGUAAUGGGUAAAGAAGCACCGGCUAACUACGUG